AAGGCAAGCCCCAAGACCUGUGAAAGUAUCGCACCCCCCAACACGUUGCCUUGAUUGCUCGAACGACGACCCAAAAACUAGUCCCGUUGCCUUGAUUCCUCGAACAUGUUGCCUUACUUUGUCGAACGAUCACCUGAUGAUGAGCAUCGUUGCCUAGAUUCGUUGAACGACGACCUUGGUUGCCUUGAUAUCACUAACGACGUUGCCUAGAUUUAUCGAACGAUGGUCCUGAAAGAUGCCUCCCCCAACACGUUGCCUUGUUAACUAGUUCCAUGUUGCCUUGAUUUCUCCAACACGUUGCCUUGACAUGUCGAACGAUGUCCUGGAAACUAGCCCUGUUCUCUUUAUUUCUUGAACAACGAUCUAGAAAGUAGCCUCGUUACCUUGAUUGCUGGAACACGUUGCCUUGAUAUCUCUAACGACGACCUGCAAAACUAGCAUGGUUUCCUUGAAUACUGGAACACAUUGCCUAGAAAACUUGCCUUGAUGACCUGAAAACUAGCCUUUUGUGGCCUUGGAUUCUUGAACGAUGACCUGAAAACUAGCCACGAUGGCCUGGAAACUAGCCACGAUUCCUUGAUUUUCCCCGACGUCGUGUGCAUACGAAAAAUUAUGCAUCCUCAGGGAAAUCAAUGUCUGUUCCUUUCACCAAGCUCUUUGUGCAAUAUGUAUAUAUUGGGGAGGGCAUGGUUGCUGAAUCGACCAUCGAGCAUCGUAAGGGCAAGCCCCAUGUGACAACCCAAGUUGUUCCGUUACAUUUUCCCCGUUCCUAUCAACGGAAUAUUCCAGUUUAUAAAGGUUCCGUUAAUUAGAGGUCGUCAAUUAAAUAAACAUUUCAUUUGUUUAUUAUUUAAUAGGCCGUUAAGUCGUGAUAAAAGGGAAUAAAAACACACAUGAUACAUUUCCAUUUAUUUGGAAAGUGUUAAGUUUUAUUAUUACGACCCCUAAAUCGGGUGCGACCAAAAGCCCCGUAUAACGGCAGUAUUGGCUAGAAUUCCACUGAGCUCCAACUCCCACCCAUAUAUAAAGGGGAGUAAACUCCAUUUGGAGCUUUUCCACCCUCUCUCUCUAUACUCUCUCUCUCUCUAGGAUCGUUUUCGACUAAAAAACCGCGAUUUCCGACUCCUAAACGUAAGACUAUCAACCCUAACUUGUUCUAUGCGUACAUUAUUGUCUUUUUAGCCUAAAAAUCACAAGAUUGAGACAUGAAAAAGGAGUUUACGGCCUAAGUGCCUCCUUAGGCCAUACACCCCCAAAAGAUGGCCAAAAUGACUCAAGAAUGUCCCUAAUGGCUUGGAAAUAAAUCAAGGGAUUUGCCUAGGAGUGUUUAAACAUUAAAUCACAUGAUUUUAGGGCAUAAAAGAGAGUUUACGGCCCAAGCACUUGCUUAGGCCGUAAACACCUCUUAAUCAUGUCUAAAUGUCCCAAAAUCACUCCCAAACCACCCUUGGGCUUAAUACAUAAUUUAGGGACUUAGUAUUUUGGAUUUAGACCAUUAAAACAUAAUGAAAUGAAAGGGAAAAGGGAGUUUACGGCCCAAGUAUGUACCAAGGCCGUAAACACCCCUAAAUGUGCCAAAAGUAUGGUUUUGCCCCCCAAAUGACCUUAGACUAUUUCUAUAAAAUGCUAGGAUGGAUUUAAAGGCUUAAACUCAAAGAAUGGUGGGUGUAUGAGAAUUCACGGCCAAACCAUAGAGCUUACUGCCGUAAACUCUCAAGGGUUGGUCAUUUGGACCAUAAACUCUAAAGGAGACCCCUUUUGGAAUCCUAAACACCCCUAUAGCCUUGAAUAAAUUACUAGAAGUGAUAUAAGGGCUUGAAACUUCACAAAACUCAAGGGAUGAGAGUUUAUGGCCGUAAACUCCCUUAGGAGUUGUCCCUAGUCCGUAAACUCCAUUAUAGUGCCCUUAAAGACCCUAAACCCACUCAUGCCUUUUGGAAUUGGACCUAGAAUAAUUCCAUGAACAAGUAGAAGCCUUAAAACACACUAGAUACCCUCACCAUGAGUUUACGGCCGUAAACACAUGGUGAGUAGUCCAUGGGCCGUAAACUAAGUUGUAAGGGUUUACUCUCGGAGAGUAAACUCCAUUCCUAAGUCAUACACACCCUUAGACGCUACUCGGGACACCCAAACACUUAACCAAAGUGUUUUCCGCUCCUUUGAGUGCGUAUACAUGUUUAAUUAGUAUUAAAUAUAUUAAUUGUAUGUGAACAUAUGUUAUCAUAUGUUAAAUAGGUCAUAGAGUGUGUUCGAGUCCUUACGUGACACCAAACGCCCAAACGACACCUUCGUCGGACCUACUUACACCAGGUGAGUUCAUACCCCUGAAUGAACCUUUUAAAUGUUUUUACAUGUUUUAUAGGGGGGAAUACAAGUUAAACAUGCCAGUUAUCAUAUCAAUCACAUGUGAUUGAUAACCCGCAUGCACAAGAUUUUACCACAUUGAAUACUGUUUUACCAAGUAGGACACUAUAAAUGGUUUUCUAAAAGGUUUUCACUUGUUCAAAGUUCUUACUUUUACUGUUUUGUCAAAGUUUCAUUUCAAACUGAUUUAUGAAUGAUUUCCAAAGAAUUUCUAAAAGCUUUACAUCAAACUUGUUUCACAAAGGAAUACCAAGUCGUGAUUUUCUUAAAAUAUAAAGGUUUUCUAAAGUUUACGCCUAUGUUUUUAUACUUCUACUCGUUAACGUUUCCACUUCGAGAUACACUUAUACUUGAUAACGUUUCCACUUCGCGAUACGAUCAUACCUGAUGGACGCUUAUACUUGUUCACACUCUUACUUAGAGAUAAGUGUCUACUUCAUUUAUACAUGAUAUCGUUCCUACUCCACUUAUACUUGUAGUCGCUUAUACCUGAUAGACGCUCUAACUUCACUUAUGUCGUCUCUAUUUCGUGAUGCGCUUAUACUUGUUCGACACUCCUACUUCACAAGAAUCACUUUCACUUGAUACACACUCAGUCGUAGUUAGAUGUAUGUCUGUGCUCAUGUAGAUACAUAAGUAAUGAUUGAAAGACUUAGGAAGGUUCGUUCGCCCUAUUUCCUUUUCUUCAUUGAGAUGUGGUCUGGUGGGAUCGGAUGUCUGUCCGAAGGUCGUUUGGUUCAUUAGUUAUAUACUAUGUAUAUGAGUAUGGGCGUAUAGGAAUGCUCUAGUCGAUUCAGUUAGGAGUCUCUACCUCUAGUCUACACUUACAUUAGAAACACACUACCCACUUUUUGGAAGUCUCUACCCCCUAUUUGGGAUGCAUCUUCAGGACACGGCCUUCCCCGUCGUCUAGUUGGUAACCAGAGUCUUCUGUAGGGAGAGCGGACAUUGUGUGUAUAGAUCUAUACGGGAUUGACAACCCCGCACCCAGACUGCUAGCUACAGUCCCGGCCUACCAAGCCAACGGGUGACAAAUGUCACAUCUUAUAGACGCUUGUAGGGCGUCUGGAACUCUAGUCAGUAUGGUUACGAGUAUCCCGGGUUACCUUAUAAUUCAUGGCUUUAAGGUAACGGUAUUUCACCGGCAAUCUACACUGUAUGCUGGUAACUCAUUUUCAGAGUCACACUGUUUGACCUUACAAGACGUAUCUUUCAUUUGAUACUGUAUGGGGUCUGUUUUCUCUGUUUUGACCUUACAAGACGUAUCUUUCAUUUGAUACUGUCUGGGGUCUGUUUUCUCUGUAUUCACUGUAUUCACUGUUCUGACCUUACAAGACGUAUCUUUCAUUUGAUACUGUCUGGGGUCUAUAUACACUGUUUGAGACCUUACCAGCAGUACUUUUCAUUUGGUACCUUCUGGGGUCUGUGACUCUAUUUGUUAGACUGAACCAGGCGUGUCGUUCGUUCGAUAGUUUCCUGGAGUCUAUGAUUCCUUGCCUUAGUCAGCAGUCCUCACUGCUGAGGCAUAUGUUAUUCCCUGAUGUCGUUUGCUUUCCUCAAUAAUCAAUUUUAGUAUUUUGAUAACGAUAACAAUUUAGGGAAAACUACUUUUUACCACAUAACACUGACCAGUCUUGGUAGAAGGCUGCUUUUAUUAAAGAAAAUAUAGGAUUUUCUGGAAAGAACUCUAAUGCACUGUAAACACUUAAAAUAUUACUUCAUAACAUUAUUUGACUAAAUGACACUAAAAUACUUAUGAACUCACCAGCAUUUGUAAAAAUGCUGAUACUCGCUUUUCAAAUAACUUGUAUUCUCAGGUCAGCAAUUAGACAGGUACACCCCUGAGCUGUUGAUGAAGAUGGAUUAGUACCUUGCUGUACUUAUUAUAUUUACUUGUGCUACUUUGAUACCUUGUAAUGUAACCAUGUAAAAUUAUUAUUAUUAAUGCAAUGUUUUGUUGUACUUUGAUUACUAUAUGCAUGUGUUGUGAUACUUGACAUGACGUCAUCCACCCCAGAACGUUUCCGCCGUUCCGGUGUUGGGGUGUGACACCCCAAGACCCGUGAAAGAGACCUCCCCCAACACGUUGCCUUGAUUGCUCGAACGACGACCCAAAAACUAGCCACGUUGCCUUGAUUCCUCGAACAUGUUGCCUUGAUUUGUGGAACGAUGAACAGAUGACUAGAAGCGUUGCCUAGAUUUGUCGAACGACGACCUUGAAACUAGCCCGGUUGCCUUGAUUCCUUGAGCAUGUUGCCUUGAUUUUUUGAACGAUGACCUGAAAACUAGCCUAAUGGAAAACAUGGGUGCUAUUCCUCAUUGCCUAGACAUAUAUAUUUAGGGGGACCAUAGAGACGAAGCAACCAUCUAGCACCAACAACGCAAGCCCUAAGACCCGUGAAGGAGCCCACCCCCAACGCAUUGCCUUGAUUGCUCGAAAGACGAGCCAAAAACUAGCCCCGUUGCCUUGAUUCCUCGAACGUGUUGCCUUCAUUUGUCGAACGAUGACCUGAUGACUAACAUUGUAGCCUAGUUUUGUCGAACGACGACCAUGAAACUAGUCCUGUUGCCUUGGUUCCUUGAGCUUGUUGCCUUUAUUUUUUGAACGAUGACCUGAAAACUAUCCUAAUGGACAACUUGUGGGAUAUUCCUUAUUACCUUGACGUAUAUAUUGGGGGGGACCAAAGAGACGAAGCAACCAUCAAGCACCAACAAGGCAAGCCCCAAGACCCGUGAAGGAGCCCGCCCCCCAAAGCGUUGCCUUGAUUGCUCGAACGACGAGCCAAAAACUAGCCCUGUUGCCUUGAUUCCUCGAAUGUGUUACCUUAAUUGGUCGAUCGAUGACCUGAUGACUAACAUUGUUGCCUAAAUUUUUCGAACAAUGACCUUGAAGCUAGUCUUUUUGCCUUGAUUCCUUGAGCUUGUUGCCUUGAUAUUUUGAACGAUGACCUGAAAACUAUGCUGAUAAACAACCGGGGUGUGCUAUCCUCGUUGCCUUGACGUCUAAUAUGGGGGGGACCAUAGGGACGAAGCAACCAUGGAGCACCGACAAGGCAAGCCCCAAGACCCAUGAAGGUUCCCACCCCCUAACACGUUGCCUUGAUUGGUCGAACGGCGACCUAAAAAAAAGCCAUGUUUCCUUGAUUCCUCGAACAUGAUGACUUAAUUUUUCGAACGAUGACAUGAUGACUAGCAUUGGUGCCUAGAUUUGUCGAACGAUGACCUAAUGACUAACAUUUUUGCCUAGAUUUGUCGAACGAGGACCUGGAAACUAGUCCUGUUGCCUUGAUUCCUUGAGCUUGUUGCCUUGAUUUUUUAAACGAUGACCUGAAAACUAUCCUGAUGGACAACCAGGGUGUGCUAUAAUCGUUGCCUUGACGUCUAAUAUUGGGGGUACCAUAAGGACGAAGCAACCAUCAAGCACCGACAAGGCAAGCCCCAAGACCCGUGAAGGAGCCCACCCGCAAACACGCUGCCUUGUUUGCUCGAACGACGACCUAAAGAAAGCCCUGUUUCCUUGAUUCCUCGAACAUGUUGCCUUAAUUUGUCGAACGAUGACAUGAUGAAUAGCAUUGUUGCCUAGAUUUGUCGAACGACGACCUUGAAACUAUCCAUGUUGCCUUGAUUCGUUGAGCAUGUUGCCUUGAUUUUUAGAAUGAUGGCCUGAACACAAGCCUUGUGGCCUUGCUUUGUAGAACAUGUAGUCUUGAUAUCUAAAACAACAUCCGGAUACCUAUACCCAUUGCCUUAAUGUAAAAAUAGGGGGACCGUAGAGACGAAGAAACCACCGAGCAGUGACAAGGCGAGCCCGAAGACCCUUGAAAGAAGCACACAACAAACAUGUUGCCUUGGUUGCUCGAACGACGACCUGAAAACAUGCCAUGUAUCCUUGAUUCCUCUAACCUGUGGCAUUAAUUUUAUGAACGAUGACCUGAUUACACGCCUUGCUGCCUAGAUGUGUCGAACGAUGGCCUUGAAAGAUGCCUACCCGAACACGUUGCCUUGUUAACUAGUUCCAUGUUGCCUUGAUUUCUCCAGCAUGUUGCCUUGAUAUGUUUAAGUAAAUCCUGAAAACUAGCCAUCUCACCUUGUUUUCUCGAACGAUGACCUGGAAAGUAGCCUCGUUGCCAUGGCUGCUGGAACAUGCUGCCUUUCUUUCUCUAAUGACGACCAGAAAACUUGCAUUGUUGCCUUUUGUUUUUAUCACGAUGACAUGACAUGUAUCCUUGAUUCUUCUUACAUGUUGCAUUAAUUUUAUGAACGAUGACCUGAUUACAGGCCUUGGUGCCUAGAUUUGUCGAAUGAUGGCCUUGAAAGUUUCAUACCCGAACACGUUGGCUUGUUGACUAGUUCCAUGUUGCCUUGAUAUGUUUAAGAAAAUCCUGAAAACUAGCCAUGUGGCCUUGUUUUCUUGAACGACGACCAGGAAACUAGCCUCAUUGCCUUGGCUGAGGGAACAUGUUGCCUUGUUUUCUCUAACGACGACCAUAAAACUUGUAUUGUUGCCUUGGCUGCUCGAACGAAGACCUGAAAACAUGCCUUGUAUCCUUGAUUCCUCUAACAUGUUGCAUUAAUUUUAUGAACGAUGACCUGAUUACAAGCCUUGCUGCCUAGAUCUGUCGAACGAUGGCCUUGAAAGUUUCCUACCCGAACACGUUGCCUUGUUAACUAGUUCAAUGUUGCCUUGAUUUCUCCAACAUGUUGCCUUGAUAUGCUUAAGAAAAUCCUGAAAACUAGCCAUGUCGCCUUGUUUUCUUUAACGACCCACGAUGCCUUGAUUUAUCGAACGAAGACCAGAAAACUAGCCUCGUAUCCUUGGUGUGUUUUUAUCGGAGGCCGCGUCACCAUUGUUGGUGAAAUACGGCCCGGUCACCGUGUUUGAUUAUUGUAAGUUCCUUUAUCCUUGUCCAAUUCAUGCCAAACCGGCUUCAUUUUGGCGAGUUAUAGAGAAUUAUAGCAUCUGAGUUUUUCGACUCGACCAGGACUAGAUACGCCCAAGAUUAACCGGUGACGAGAUGACCCUGAUGAAAACCUGUCCAAAAUCAUAUUUUGCUCAGUAACUCGAAAUAUGUGCACACUUUCUCGAUCACAAAAGAAAUUUUACCAUGUAAAUCAAGACGACCUGAAAACUAGCCUUGUUGCCUUGAUUAUUCGAACUUGUUGCUUAGAUAUUUUGAACGAUGACCUUGAAGCUAGGCUUGUUGCCUUGAUUUUUAGACCGUUGACCUGAAAACUAGCCUUUUGUGGCCUUGGUUUCUUGAACAAUGACCUGAAAACUAGCCACGAUGUCUUGAUUUCUCCCGACGUCGUGCGCAUGCUAAAAAUUAUGCAUCUUCGGGCAAAUCAAUGUCUGUUGCCUUGAUUUCUUGAACAUGUUGCCUUGAUUUCUAGAAUGACAACCUGAAAACUAGCCUUGUGGCCUUGAAUUGCAAGACAUCUUGUCUUGAUAUCUCAAACGAAAGCCUGAUUGCUAUCCCCAUUGCCUUGAUGGCGACGAAGGCACCGUCGAGCACCGACAAGGCAAGCCCAAUGACCCAUGAAGGAAGCCCACCCCAACAUCUUGCCUUGUUUUCUCGAACGAUGACCUGUAAACUAGCCUUGUUCCCUUGAUUAUUCAAACUUGUUGCUUAGAUUUCUUGAAGGAUGACCUUGAAACUAGGCCUGUUACCUUUAUUGUUGCCUUGAUUUUUAGAACAAGGACCUGAAAACUAGCCUUGUGGCCUUCGUUUCUAGAACAUGAUGUCUUGAUAUCUCGAAUGACGAGCGGAGAGCAGUGCCCGUUGCCUUGAUUUUUCGAACGAAGACCUAAAAAACAACCCAUGUUGCCUUGAUAUCUCGAACCUGAUGGCUUGGUUUUUGGAACGAAGGACUUAAAAUUUUCCCCGUUGCCUUGAUUUCACGAACGAUGCUUUGGUUUAAGUAAAAUGUUGGCGGCCUUUCUCGGACGACGGCUGAAAGCUGGCGUGUUGCCUUGAUUUAUGGAGCGCCUUUGAUUUAUACAACAUUUUGUCCGUGUUUCUCGAACGACGACCUGAAAGCUUGGAUUUAUUGAACGACGGCCUGAAAACAAGCCUUGCCGCCUUGAUCACUCAAACAUGUUGCCUUGAAUUAUCAAACUACUACCCGAAAGCAUGUUGCCUUGAAUUAUCAAACACCGUCGAAGUCACUACACACGAUGCAUGCCCAUAUUAAAUGAGUUCAUGUUGCUCUUUCGGCAUUUUUGACGUCUUAUGAGAAAACAAAGUAUAAUUGGUGGUCCUAGUAAAGCGCAUGUCAUCGGUUCGGGUUGUUAUGUGUUUUUAUCGGAGGCCGCGUCACCGUUGUUGGUGAAUUACGGCCCGGUCACCGAGUUUUAUUAUUGUAAGGUCCUUUAUCCUUGUCCAAUUCGUGCCAAACCGGCUUCAUUUUGGCGAGUUAAAUAGAAUUAUAGCGUCUCGGAUUUUUCGACUCGGCCAAGACUAGAUACGGUCAAGAUUAACCGGUGAGCAGAUGACCCAACCCGAUGAAACCUGGCCAAAAUCAUAUUUUGCUCGACAACUCGAAAUCCAUGCACAUUUCCUCGAUCACGAAAGAAAUUUUACCAGGCAAAUCAACAAUUUCGAGCAACUUUCAUUCAAUGGGUUUUUGCGAAAUCGGAGGUAAAAGACCACCCGGUGACCAAAGACGAUAAGACGCGGUGAAAGUUAGCCAAAAUCGCAUUUUGCUCAGUAACUCGAAAUCCGUGCACAUUUUCUGGAUCACGAAAGAAAAUUUACCAGGUAAAUCAAUGAUUUCGAGCAAUUUUCAUUUAAUGGUUUUACGCUGAUUCGGAAGUACAAGAUCACCCGGUGACCAAAGACGAUAAGACGCGGUGAAAGUUAGCCAAAAUCGCAUUUUGCUCAGUAACUCGAAAUCCGUGCACAUUUUCUCGAUCAUGAAAGGAAUUUUGCCGUGUAAAUCAAGGUUUCCGAGCAACUUUCAUUCAAUGGGUUUUCGCUAAUUCGGAAGUACAAGACCACCCGGUGACUAAAGUCGACCCAACCCGAUGAAAGUUAGCCGAAAUCACAUAUGGAUCGGUAACUCGAAAUCCGUGCACAUUUUCUUGAUCACGAAAGAAAAUUUACCAGGUAAAUCAAUGAUUUCGAGCAACUUUCAUUCAAUGGGUUUUUUGCCAAUUCGAAAGUUAAAGUUCAGUAGUGUGUGUGUACAAGUGUCGAAGCUUUGGUCCCCCGGGUAAUUACGGACCAAAAACAUAUUUUUUUUGAAACGUACAUUAUUCGUGUUAAUAAAGAGCCAUGCAAAAUUUCUUCAAAAUCUGAUUUAAUUUGGAGGAGUUAUGGACGUAUUUUGCAAAAUUAUGCAUCCUGGGGAAAUCAAUGUCUAUUCCUAUCACCAAGCUCUUUGUGCAAUAUGUAUAUAUAGGGGAAGGGUGGGAGUGACGCCCCACAGGCAUCCCAAAGGCGGGUGGGCGACCAGCGACGUCGAGGCUGCUACGACCAAGGGCAAAGCCAAGGCAAGGCCAUCGACCAAGCUCACCGGUCAUAUCCAAGUCGCGAUUUGUGUUUGGUUGGUGAAACCAGAUCGCGACCAGCCACUCCUCGACGAGAUCCUCGCAAGUGACCCAUUUUCACCGAUGAAAAACCUGAUCGCGACCUUAAUUGCCCCACGCCGUGCUAGUUCCAAAAAAUUAUGCAUGAUAUGGAAAAUCAAUGUCUGUUCCUAUGACCAAGCGCUUUGCGCAAUAUGUAUAUAUAGGGGAAGGGUGGGAGUGACGCCCCACCGGAGCCCCAAAGGUGGGUGAGCGACCAACGACAUCGAGGUUGUUACGACCAAGGGCAAGCCAAGGCAAGGCCAUUGGCCAAGCUCACCGGUGAUAUCCAUGUCGCGAUUUGCGUUUGCUUGGCGAAACCAGAUCGCGACCAGCCACUCCUCGACAAUAUCCUCGCAAUCGGCCCAUUUUCACCGAUGAAAAACCUGGUCGCGACCAAAGUUGCCCCACGUCGUGCUAGUUCCAAAAAAUUAUGCAUGAUAUGGAAAAUCAAUGUCAGUUCCUGUCACCAAGCUCUUUGCGCAAUAUGUAUAUAUAGGGGGGACCAUGGAGACCGAAGCCACCAGCGAGCAUUGAAAGGGCAAGCCCUAUGACCUGUGAAAGUAUCGCACCCCCCAACACGUUGCCUUGAUUGCUCGAACGACGACCCAAAAACUAGCCCCGUUGCCUUGAUUCCUCGAACAUGUUGCCUUACUUUGUCGAACGAUGACCUGAUGAUGAGCAUCGUUGCCUAUAUUCGUUGAACGAAGACCUUGGUUGCCUUGAUAUCACUAACGACGUUGCCUAGAUUUAUCGAACGAUGGCCCUGAAAGAUGCCUCCCCCAACACGUUGCCUUGUUAACUAGUUCAUGUUGCCUUGAUUUCUCCAACACGAGAUCCUCGUAAGCGACCCAUUUUCACCGAUGAAAAACCUGGUCGCGACCAAAGUUGCCCCACGUCGUGCUAGUUCCAAAAAAUUAUGCAUGAUAUGGAAAAUCAAUGUCUGUUCCUGUCACCAAGCUCUUUGCGCAAUAUGUAUAUAUAGGGGGAGGGGGGGGGCNAGGUGCCCCAAAGGUGGGUGAGCGACCAGCGACAUCGAGGCUGUUACGACCAAGGGCAAGCCAAGGCAAGGCCAUUGGCCAAGCUCACCGGUGAUAUCCAAGUCGCGAUUUGCAUUUGCUUGGCGAAACCAGAUCACGACCAGCCACUCCUCGACGAUAUCCUCGCAAUCGGCCCAUUUACACCGAUGAAAAACCUGGUCGCGACCAAAGUUGCCCCACGUCGUGCUAGUUCCAAAAAAUUAUGCAUGAUAUCGAAAAUCAAUGUCUGUUCCUGUCACCAAGCUCUUUGCGCAAUAUGUAUAUAUAGGGGGACCAUGGAGACCGAAGCCACCAGCGAGCAUCGAAAGGGCAAGCCCCAAGACCUGUGAAAGUAUCGCACCCCCCAACACGUUGCCUUGAUUGCUCGAACGACGACCCAAAAACUAGCCCCGUUGCCUUGAUUCCUCGAACAUGUUGCCUUAGUUUGUCGAACGAUGACCUGAUGAUGAGCAUCGUUGCCUAGAUUCGUUGAACGACGACCUUGGUUGCCUUGAUAUCACUAACGACGUUGCCUAGAUUUGUCGAACGAUGGCCCUGAAAGAUGCCUCCCCCAACACGUAGCCUUGUUAACUAGUUCCAUGUUACCUUGAUUUCUCCAACACGUUGCCUUGACAUGUCGAACGAUGUCCUGAAAACUAGCCCCGUUCUCUUUUCUUCUUGAACAACGACCUGGAAAGUAGCCUCGCUACCUUGAUUGUUGGAACAAGUUGCCUUGAUAUCACUAACGACGACCUGCAAAACAAGCAUGGUUGCCUUGAAUACUGGAACACAUUGCCUAGAAAAAUUGCCUUGAUGACCUGAAAACUAGCCUUUUGUGGCCUUGGUUUCUUGAACGACGACCUGAAAACUAGCCACGAUGGCCUGGAAACUAGCCACGAUGCCUUGAUUUUCCCCGACGUCGUGUGCAUAUGAAAAAUUAUGCAUCCUCAGGGAAAUCAAUGUCUGUUCCUAUAUCCAAGCUCUUUGUGCAAUAUGUAUAUAUAGGGGAGGGCAUGGUUGCUGAAUCCACCAUCGAGCAUCGUAAAGGGAAGCCUUAAGACCCGUGAAAGAGCCCCCCCCCAACACGUUGCCUUGAUUGCUCGAACGACGACCCAAAAACUAGCCGCGUUGCCUUGAUUCCUCGAACAUGUUGCCUUGAUUUGUGGAACGAUGACCGGAUGACUAGAAUCGUUGCCUAGAUUUGUCGAACGACGACCUUGAAACUAGCCCGGUUGCCUUGAUUCCUUGAGCAUGUUGCCUUGAUUUUUUGAACGAUGACCUGAAAACUAGCCUAAUGGAAAACAUUGGUGCUAUUCCUCAUUGCCUAGACGUAUAUAUUUGGGGGGACCAUAGAGACGAAGCAACCAUCUAGCACCAACAAGGCAAGCCCUAAGACCCGUGAAGGAGCCCACCCCCCAACGCGUUGCCUUGAUUGCUCGAAAGACGAGCCAAAAACUAGCCCCGUUGCCUUGAUUCCUCGAACGUGUUGCCUUAAUUUGUCGAACGAUGACCUGAUGACUAACAUUGUUGCCUAGAUUUGUCGAACGACGACCACGAAACUAGUCCUGUUGCCUUGGUUCCAUGAGCUUGUUGCCUUGAUUUUUUGAACGAUGACCUGAAAACUAUCCUAGUGGACAACUUGUGGGCUGUUCCUUAUUGCCUUG
This 12614-nucleotide long non-coding RNA is filed under the name Lactuca sativa (garden lettuce). RNAcentral's name for it is "long non-coding RNA (LSAT_LNC003486)". Lineage: Eukaryota; Viridiplantae; Streptophyta; Magnoliopsida; Asterales; Asteraceae. The record is from RNAcentral.